AAGUCCUAUAACGAGCGNAACCCCUGUUGUUAGUUGCCAGCGAGUAAUGUCGGGAACUCUAGCAAGACUGCCGGUGCAAACCGCGAGGAAGUGGGGAUGACGUCAAAUCAUCACGGCCCUUACGUCCUGGGCCACACACGUGCUACAAUGGCCGGUACAGAGAGCAGCCACUCCGCGAGGAGGAGCGAAUCUAUAAAACCGGUCUCAGUUCGGAUCGCAGUCUGCAACUCGACUGCGUGAAGCUGGAAUCGCUAGUAAUCGGAUAUCAGCCAUGAUCCGGUGAAUACGUUCCCGGGCCUU
RNAcentral lists this ribosomal RNA (300 nucleotides) under uncultured bacterium. RNAcentral's name for it is "bacterial SSU rRNA". It matches the Rfam family "Bacterial small subunit ribosomal RNA", at positions 1082 to 1382 of the family's 1533-position model. The record is from RNAcentral.